GCCGAGGCUACGAAUCCCUCCCUUGGAGCUCUCCAUCAGCUGGGACUGGGCCAUCUCCCUAUGAGAAUAUACGUACAUAUGGCCUCCCAGACCCCAGGAGCCUGCAGCCUGCAUUUCCAAGAGGCCACUGCAGAGACUUCCACAGCACCUCUGUUUGUCUAAUGACAUGGGCACCAGAUUCCACACUUAUUUCACAUUCAGCAGUACAGCUCUGCACACAGAAAGGUAAGCAGUGCAGGCUUGAUAAGCUUGCCUUUUGAACAAAUAAUUUGUCAGUCUGUGUUGGGAACUGGGAUGUUACUAGUUCUGUGAAGCACUUUUAGUGCUGUG
This 330-nucleotide long non-coding RNA is filed under the name Felis catus (domestic cat). Its description in RNAcentral is "lncRNA (ENSFCAG00000052012.1)". Lineage: Eukaryota; Metazoa; Chordata; Mammalia; Carnivora; Felidae. The record is from RNAcentral.